RNAcentral lists this ribosomal RNA (439 nucleotides) under uncultured bacterium. RNAcentral's name for it is "partial 16S ribosomal RNA". It matches the Rfam family "Bacterial small subunit ribosomal RNA", at positions 338 to 795 of the family's 1533-position model. The record is from RNAcentral.
CCUACGGGUGGCAGCAGUGGGGAAUAUUGCACAAUGGGCGCAAGCCUGAUGCAGCCACGCCGCGUGAGCGAUGAAGGCCUUCGGGUUGUAAAGCUCUGUCCUCAAGGAAGAUAAUGACGGCACUUGAGGAUGAAGCCCCGGCUAACUACGUGACAGCAGCCGCGGUAAUACGUAGGGGGCUAGCGUUAUCCGGAAUUACUGGGCGUAAUGGGUGCGUAGGUGGUUUCUUAAGUCAGAGGUGAAAGGCUACGGCUCAACCGUAGUAAGCCUUUGAAACUGGCGAACGUGAGUGCAGGAGAGGAGAGUGGAAUUCGUGGUGUAGCGGUGAAAUGCGUAGAUAUUAGGAAGAACGCCGGUUGCGAAGGCAGCUGUCUGGACUGUAACUGACGCUGAGGCACGAAAGCGUGGGGAGCAAACAGGAUGAGAUACCCGGGUAGUC